GAUGAACGCUGGCGGCGUGCCUAAUACAUGCAAGUCGAGCGAACAGACAAGGAGCUUGCUCCUUUGACGUUAGCGGCGGACGGGUGAGUAACACGUGGGUAACCUACCUAUAAGACUGGGAUAACUUCGGGAAACCGGAGCUAAUACCGGAUAAUAUUUCGAACCGCAUGGUUCGGUAGUGAAAGAUGGUUUUGCUAUCACCUAUAGAUGGACCCGCGCCGUAUUAGCUAGUUGGUAAGGUAACGGCUUACCAAGGCGACGAUACGUAGCCGACCUGAGAGGGUGAUCGGCCACACUGGAACUGAGACACGGUCCAGACUCCUACGGGAGGCAGCAGUAGGGAAUCUUCCGCAAUGGGCGAAAGCCUGACGGAGCAACGCCGCGUGAGUGAUGAAGGUCUUCGGAUCGUAAAACUCUGUUAUUAGGGAAGAACAUACGUGUAAGUAACUAUGCACGUCUUGACGGUACCUAAUCAGAAAGCCACGGCUAACUACGUGCCAGCAGCCGCGGUAAUACGUAGGUGGCAAGCGUUAUCCGGAAUUAUUGGGCGUAAAGCGCGCGUAGGCGGUUUUUUAAGUCUGAUGUGAAAGCCCACGGCUCAACCGUGGAGGGUCAUUGGAAACUGUAAAACUUGAGUGCAGAAGAGGAAAGUGGAAUUCCAUGUGUAGCGGUGAAAUGCGCAGAGAUAUGGAGGAACACCAGUGGCGAAGGCGACUUUCUGGUCUGUAACUGACGCUGAUGUGCGAAAGCGUGGGGAUCAAACAGGAUUAGAUACCCUGGUAGUCCACGCCGUAAACGAUGAGUGCUAAGUGUUAGGGGGUUUCCGCCCCUUAGUGCUGCAGCUAACGCAUUAAGCACUCCGCCUGGGGAGUACGACCGCAAGGUUGAAACUCAAAGGAAUUGACGGGGACCCGCACAAGCGGUGGAGCAUGUGGUUUAAUUCGAAGCAACGCGAAGAACCUUACCAAAUCUUGACAUCCUUUGACAACUCUAGAGAUAGAGCCUUCCCCUUCGGGGGACAAAGUGACAGGUGGUGCAUGGUUGUCGUCAGCUCGUGUCGUGAGAUGUUGGGUUAAGUCCCGCAACGAGCGCAACCCUUAAGCUUAGUUGCCAUCAUUAAGUUGGGCACUCUAAGUUGACUGCCGGUGACAAACCGGAGGAAGGUGGGGAUGACGUCAAAUCACCAUGCCCCUUAUGAUUUGGGCUAUACACGUGCUACAAUGGACAAUACAAAGGGCAGCGAAACCGCGAGGUCAAGCAAAUCCCAUAAAGUUGUUCUCAGUUCGGAUUGUAGUCUGCAACUCGACUACAUGAAGCUGGAAUCGCUAGUAAUCGUAGAUCAGCAUGCUACGGUGAAUACGUUCCCGGGUCU
This 1372-nucleotide ribosomal RNA is filed under the name uncultured bacterium. RNAcentral's name for it is "bacterial SSU rRNA". It matches the Rfam family "Bacterial small subunit ribosomal RNA", at positions 28 to 1381 of the family's 1533-position model. The record is from RNAcentral.